UAGGGAAUCUUCCGCAAUGGACGCAAGUCUGACGGAGCAACGCCGCGUGAGUGAAGAAGGAUUUCGGUUCGUAAAACUCUGUUGUUAGAGAAGAACAGCGCAUAGAGUAACUGUUAUGCGUGUGACGGUAUCUAACCAGAAAGCCACGGCUAACUACGUGCCAGCAGCCGCGGUAAUACGUAGGUGGCAAGCGUUGUCCGGAUUUAUUGGGCGUAAAGCGAGCGCAGGCGGUCAAUUAAGUCUGAUGUGAAAGCCCCCGGCUCAACCGGGGAGGGUCGUUGGAAACUGGUUGACUUGAGUGCAGACGAGGAGAGUAGAAUUCCGUGUGUAACGGUGAAGUGCGUAGAUAUAUGGAGGAACACCAGUGGCGAAGGCGACUCUCUAGUCUGUAACUGACGCUGAGGUUCGAAAGCGUGGGUAGCAAACAGG
This 429-nucleotide ribosomal RNA is filed under the name Bacteroidota bacterium. Its description in RNAcentral is "Bacteroidetes bacterium partial 16S ribosomal RNA". It matches the Rfam family "Bacterial small subunit ribosomal RNA", at positions 355 to 776 of the family's 1533-position model. The record is from RNAcentral. Lineage: Bacteria; Pseudomonadati; Bacteroidota.